RNAcentral lists this long non-coding RNA (282 nucleotides) under Dromaius novaehollandiae (emu). RNAcentral describes it as "lncRNA (ENSDNVG00000002335.1)". Lineage: Eukaryota; Metazoa; Chordata; Aves; Casuariiformes; Dromaiidae. The record is from RNAcentral.
UUGGCACAAAGGAUAAUUAAUCAUACCAUGAAUUGCUGAAGACAGAAGAUGAAAAGCAGAUUCCGUAGACUGGAGACAGGAAAAACCUUUGAAGGCUGUCAACACCUGAAGAGCCAUUGCCUAAAUGGAACAAUGGAGCCUCUGAUUUGCUAUUUCCAGUAAAAGAGGAUUCCGUCUGCAUCAGUUGCAGCAGAAGUUGUGUAUGGCAUGCGUAACUGCUGAAAAACAACUGUCCUAACAGGUAUUUUGACAUCUAAUAUAUUUGUUCUAUUAACUUAAGCU